Molecule: long non-coding RNA, 480 nt
Organism: Hydra vulgaris (swiftwater hydra)
Lineage: Eukaryota; Metazoa; Cnidaria; Hydrozoa; Anthoathecata; Hydridae
Source: RefSeq, a predicted model, not a curated record
GUAAGGAUGAGGUCUAAUUAUUUUUUUAUGCAACAAAAAAGUUAUACUAAUGCAACAAAAAAGUUAUACUAAUUUCAAUAAAAUUGGUUAUUACUACCAUGAAAUUUCUGUGAUGCUAUUAACUGUUUUUGCUCUUUUUUAGAAAAUUUAGAAAAAUAAAUUGAAAUUUCGUGCCACUACUGACAUGUCACAUGUUAUUGUAUGUAAAGAUUAAAUUUUUGUUAUGAGAACUACAGUUCUUAUGAAAGAAAAAGAUUCACUAAAAGCCUACUACUACUUCUACUACUCUGGUAAAUCACAUCAGCUUUAUCAGAUCUAAAUUGGAGCAGCUACAGACUAUAUUGCUCCCAGCACCCAGGACCACUCUGAGAGGUCCAUUAACAAAUGUUGCAGUAAUAAUGGUAUGGAAUAGCCCUCUUUCAAAUGGAGGGCUCAUCCAUACAGGGGUGCUGGGAGGCACCAAGUAAAAAAUAGCAACAA